UAAUAUAAAUAGCAGACGACACUUCGAUAGACAUAUUCAAAUUCAAUUGAUGUUAUUAUUAUUAUCGAGUUCAGGCUAAUGAGUUUCACUUUUGACAAGAUUUUCACACAUUUCAGAGGCAGUUCGUCAAGACAAUGUUCGCCUUUUUUAUACUGACCUAUAUGUGUGUGAGUGUUGGCGGCUCUGGCCCAGAUGACACAGAAAGUAGCGGCGAUGACGCAAUACAAACAGGCGUGUUUAUAACAACAGAACUCUCAGAGUCACAACAUAACCUGACCGUGAACAGUUUACAAACUCCAGAGCCAACCACAGUCAUUGAUUCAAAGUCUACCACAACAUCGAAUGAUUUAGAUUCAAUCAAGGUGUCUUUCACCACAGCCAUUGAUUCAAAGUCUACCACAACAUCGAAUGAUUUAGAUUCAAUCAAGGUGUCUUUCACCACAGCCAUUGAUUCAAAGUCUACCACAACAUCGAAUGAUUUAGAUUCAAUCAAGGUGUCUUUCACCACAGUCAAUGAUUCAAAGUCUACCACAACAUCGAAUGAUUUAGAUUCAAUCAAGGUGUCUUUCACCACAGUCAUUGAUUCAAAGUCUACCACAACAUCGAAUGAUUUAGAUUCAAUCAAGGUGUCUUUCACCACAGCUAUUGAUUCAGAUGUAAGCAAGUUUUUUCCCAUCACAGCGAUUGAUUCAAUUUCAGAGAAAAAAUCUACCAACUGCAUUGAUUUAGAAUGUACUACUUCUAUAAAUUUAACUUCCUAUGAUAAGUCUUCAAAAACUAGCACAGAAACAAUGACUCCUACAGUGAAUGACAAAAGUUCCGAGUUCUUAAACUCCACACAUCAAACAACAACUGCAGCAGGAGAAUCAAAGUCGACCCAAGUCGAUGACAUUAGCGCUAGUGUGACUUCGGUUGCAACAUCGUCCGCAAUGGCCAGACACUCAUCGGGAAGAUCUCUGUAUGGAGAAACAUCUUACACUACACAAAGUUGUUUUUUUUUUCCUUCGCCGCUAAUAAUGUAUGCUUGGAAAUGUUCACGUUUAACAUCGUUGUUGUUUUUUAAAGAAAAAAAGUUUUGUUCCAUCAUUUCUUUACUGAAGGUAAGUUGGCUUUUUUUUUUUUUGCUUUCUUUCGUAACAUCGAAAUUAAAAUAGUAAAACUUUUUAACCUUGGUAUUAGCCAAUAUUGGUCAAUGUAAAUCUAGUGGCCUAGCAACCAUGGCGUUAAAGGGCUCAAUGCACCUGGACCCAGUGCCGAUAAGAGGCCGACAGAGAUUUUGAAAGAAAAAAAAAAUGAUCUUUCAAACGUAUCGAUAUCUUACAUAAUUUUACUUAGCAUCCAUUGUUGAUUGAUCUUUUUGUUUCUGAUAGUGGAGAUUUUCAACUUUAGCGAGGAAAAAAAAAACUAUAAAUAGCUAUCUUUUUGGUGUAUCCGGUGUACAGAAUGAAGUUCGUGUUGAUUGGCUGUUUAAAGUCAUAUGAUAGCUUUUUAGCUUUACAGAUUACAGAAUCACAUUUUCUAAACUCCUCCGUUAGUUGCACAAAAUAAUUUCACUACAGAGAAAGUAUUAGACUUUCGGGGGCGCGAUGGCUGAGUGGUUAAGCACUCGGCUUCCGAACCUGAGGUCCUGGGUUUGAACCUCGGUGAAGGCUGGGAUUUUGAAUUUCGGUAUUUUUAGUGCGUCCCUGAAGUAAAGGCGCUUGGUUGUUGUGCUGACCACUUAACACCCUGCUCGUUAACCGUUGGCCAUAGAAACAGAUGAUCUUAACAUCAACUGCCUCAUAGAUCGGAAGGUCUGAAAGAGAAACUUUACUUUACUUUUUAUUAGACUUUCACUCUAGGACUUAAAAACUGUGUUAAAACAAAUGUACAACUAGCUAAGGAUAGCAGAGGAGAUUUGAUGUGAAGCUUCACUACCACGCAUUGAGACAUUGUUAAAAGUAAAGCUCUGUUUUUUAAGUUGGCAACACUGAAGUUCCGUUGAUACUUUUUGUUUAUUUUAUAGUGAACAUCUCCAAUGAACUCAGGUAAAAGAUAGCACCUGCAGAGGCAUGACGUCCUGUCAAUGAACUGAUACCUACUGUCUGACUUCUUUUGGGUGAAUGGGAGAGUUUUUCUUAAUUUAUGAGACAAUGGUAAGGCGAUGUCAAUAAUGGUAGCGAAUUUUUAUUUUGUAUCAAUGAACAGCAGAUCCGGGCGAUUAAAAUCUACCUGAUUUGUCGGUCAAAACAGGCCUAUCCCAGUACAGCAGAUGUUCAGUAGACUCGAGAACCUCUUAUGGCGAGUAUUUAUAAUAAGCUCGUGAGCAGUACGUGGAUAGAAUGUGUUGUAAAGACCAGCAGUCAACAAAUACCAGUGCUAUGACCUAUCAUUCUAAUUCCAUCAUUGUUUUACGUCGUAUAUUAUUUUAUGACAAGUGUCUCUGUUGUUGUUUUGUGUGUGUGUUUCUUUUUUACCCUAACAAAACAGUUGAGUAAUUUUACAAUGAUUUUUUUACUCUCAUGUUUGUAUUUAAUGAUGCGUUAAUUUAAGAGAUGUUUAUGUCACGUACGGUUAGUUGGUUUUGAUACGUCGUCUUCUUGUCAGUGAAUAGUGUCGAUUUACAUUAUUAGCCAGUUCAGAAAUAAAUACAUGUGGUACAUGUUACACCACUGUGAAAUAAUGUUACUUUAACAAACAAUAAACAUAUAUGUAUAUAUACAUGGUUUUAUUCUUAUUAAAAAAAA
Biomphalaria glabrata is the source of this 2726-nucleotide RNA transcript. It is a transcript of the gene named serine-rich adhesin for platelets-like, with no coding region annotated. The record is from RefSeq and is a predicted model, not a curated record. The transcript is spliced from 6 exons. NCBI's taxonomy places the organism in Eukaryota, Metazoa, Mollusca, Gastropoda, Planorbidae.